RNAcentral lists this long non-coding RNA (10520 nucleotides) under Phoenix dactylifera (date palm). RNAcentral describes it as "long non-coding RNA (PDAC_LNC005700)". Lineage: Eukaryota; Viridiplantae; Streptophyta; Magnoliopsida; Arecales; Arecaceae. The record is from RNAcentral.
UUUGUGUUUGAGGUAUUCUGAUUGUUUAGCAUGUCCAUUUUAUUCUUUGGAUUAUUUAUUGUUCAUACUUAUCUUAGCAACUUAUGGACACUUUCAAAAGUGAGUUUUCUGCUGCACAUAUUUUGUAAAUUUUGAAAAAUUUAACUCAACCCCCCCCCCCCCAAAAAAAAAAAAACAAAGGAAUUAUUGAGAAUUAUCCAAGGAAGCAUGAUUUGGUAUAAUAGUGCGUCAAUAUUUGAACAUACAAUUUAACUUAGGUUGCUACAUUAAACUAAUGGCCUAAACUUUAGCCUAUGCACACAGAUAUAUCUACCAAUUUGUAAGGUAGAUAGUAUCACUCUAAUACUUUUUUUUUUUAAAUCUCUAAAUACCUCACAGCCAUCAUAUUGAGAGAAAUGCUGCAGUUUGAGGAAGCAUGGAGCAGGAAGAAUAUUCUUUUUGACAAAAAAAUCUGUAAACAUUAGAUUCCAAUUUUGAUUAUUUUAUGAAUAAUAAUUUUAAGAUUAAAAAUAUUUUACUAUUUAAUUAUUAUAGAUUGGAUUUAUAUUAAAAUUUAUUAUUUUUUUAAGUUCAAGUCUUCCUAGAACUUUAGCAUUAUUUUUUAUAUAUUUAUUUAUUUUAAAUAAAGGAUCCAUGUAUUGCACAUGCCACAUUGUAAUUAGAAUCGGAGAUAUUAGAACUAAGAUUUUUCGCAUGCCUUUCAUAUUGGAUUGGGGAAGCAUAGUAUGGAGAGUAUUAUUUUUUGACAAAAAAUCUAAAAGCCUCGGAUUCUAAUUUUGAUUAUUUUAAUUAAGAUAGUUUUCAGAUUAAGAUAUUUUAUUAUUUAAUCAUUAUAUAUCAUGUUUGUAUUAGAAAUAUCAUAACUAUUUUAUUACAUUUGUCUAUCAAAAAUUUAAGUCCUACAAGAAAACUUCUCUAACUUUUUUUUUGCAUUAUUAAUAUCCAGAGCAACAAAUUUUGUACUAUUUUCUAUAAGAGUUCGAGUCGAGUGAAUUUGAGGAAUUGCUUCCUUCUUCUCUCUUUAUUCGAAUCAUAGAAUAGCAAUACCACUAAAAUUCUCUUACCAAGAAUUCCAUUCAUGGAAUUGUGCCACCCAUUCUCGAGCUCUCAAUCCCACCACCCAAACAGGGGCUAUAGGGGAAGGAACUGAGAAAUUGGAUUUUAUGGGAUGAGAGUGGUUUAGCUCUGUUGCCAAAUGGAAACUGAAUAAUGCUUAGAACCCUCCUACAAUACAUUGCAUACUUUUGAGAUUUAUGCCCAUCUUUUUUAUUGUUUUUUUUUUUUUUUUUGUCUGAAAGCGGAUGUUUCAUAUAGUGCGUAUACGGAUACACCUAAAAAAGUCAAAAUACAACAAUUCGCAGAGUGCUAGUGGCAGCUCUCCCUCCCCUGACCAAAGAUUGUACCCUGAGUGGUGGGCCGCUAUCCAGUCGGCCGCCCCAUUGGCUUUUCUAAAUACAUGCUUGGCCUGAAAGACCCUCCCAUCUGUCAUCAUCAUCCCUAUGUUACGGAUUAAGGGGUGGUCUGUGCCGUCACCCCUCGACCCCCUCUAAAUCCACCCGAUAACCGUAGCCAUCUUUAUGUAUUCAAUGAUGCAUUUGGAAAGCAUUUCAAAUCUCAAAGGCCACCAUGUAUUAAAUUUUCAGCGAGAAGUCUAUCUUUGGAUCGUUAUCAUUAUCAUCACCUUUAAAUAAGCACCCCUAAACUAGUGGAGAUCAUGCUCAAAUAGGCACGGUUUCUCCGAUGGAUUUUGCUGUCAAUAUGCGAGCAUGGCAAUACGGGAGGCCGGCUUAAGUUGGCAUGAUUAGAACUAGAACACAUGAUUUAUCUCAGUAAGCGACUAAUGAGGUUUUUUUGGUUCAAUAAGAGUGACUAAAGCAUGGUUCCGCAAUGACAGAUCAUAGACAUGAUAUGGGUGUUACUAAUCAUGGUUCGGCACAGUUCGAGUACAGCACCAAAAAUUUCUGCUGUGGUUUAUUCCAACUCCAUAGCGACAUGUUUGGCGUUCAGAAACAAUUUGGAUAUUUCAAAUUGAGAACAAAAAUAUAACUUCAUCAAAAGUUUGAAAAACUCAAAUAAUUAUAUAUAUAAAAAAGAAAAUAAUGGACAUUAGAUUUUUAAAAAAUUGGCAUAUUUACUCAUGAAAAUUAGCAUAAAAAUGAAGAAUAAAUCCAUGUCCACCUCAUGAUUGAAUAGAUCUGAACGGAUUUGUUUAUUGAGAAUAUUUCAAAGAAUCAUUUGGAGAAGGAAAAGCUUGAAAAAAGCUGGGUCUUUUCGGCCACUCAAGAGAAUAUUGCUUCUGUUGUCCAUUCCUAUCCUGAGUUACCCAUAAUUCUCAUGUUACUUGCCACAUGGUUGGCUCAGACAAGAUUUCAUCGCCUACAUAAAGAGUUCUUUGAUAUACUUAGGAACAUAUGUUGCCCCAAAUAAGUAAUAGAGAGAGAAAAAGAGAGAAGCUAAGACAAGGGAGAGGCAUCAAAUCAAUAAUGGUCAGACAACCAUCUGCAAGUUCCUUCUGUAAUAUAGUGGAGAGAUCCACAGAGUUGCAAGGAAAAAGGAAGCAUGGAGAUCCCAAAUUUCAAUGUGCAACAGAAAAUAGUCAACAACAAUAUGAAGCCACUGUUUUGUUUGUUUCUUGAAUUUGUUUUAUUUAGUCUUUUAAUACUGCACCCUCACUGUUAUAUAUACAAGUAACAGAAUUAGAACAAACUCCAAUGGAGGAAAAAAAAAGAAAAAAAAGAGAAGAAAAGUAUAUAAUGCACACAGCUCCAUUGAGUUAACAGCUCCCAAGUGCUUCCAAAAUGCUAAAAAAGGAUUGGCAGAGAUCACUGGAGCUGUUAAAAACUGGGAGGAAAAACACUUCUAGUUAAGUACCUUUUCUUGGAUCAUCAACAUAUCCAUCCACAGGUCGUAUGAGUUAUUAUACCGGGUAAUGUUUAUCUAACACCAGUAAAAAAGGACCCAUAUCAUUCACCUUUAUUUUUUUCUGGUUUCACUAAUUUCUUCUCGCAAAGACAACCUUUGGGCUUGCCUGAAGCUGAAGAAGGCAAUCAUGCACUGUGGGCUUGGAGUUGUUCUCAAAAUCAGGCUUAAGUCUCAUCUGCAAUGUAAACAUUUAUUUAUGUUUGAUGAGUUUAACAAAUACAGUACAACUUUGCCAAAGUUGAAUAUGAUAUUGUAAUUCAUUACAAGGUAUGAUUUUAGCCGAUGGAAAGAACUAGUUGAAUGUAAAAAGAAAUUAUUCGUGAAUCACCUCUUGAUCUCAAGUCCCCUUUUUUUACAGCUAAAGGUACUCAGCAACAUGUCAUGCGCUAAUUAACUUAAAGAGGAGUAUUUUCAAUCAGGUAAACAACAAAAGCCAAUUAUGCCUCAUGCUCUUUUAAGCAUCGAUUUCAUGCCACAUGCAUAAAUAAUCAAACAUGUUAUGCAUUUCUACAUAUAAACACACCAAAAUGACGAAAAAACGCUAGUUGCAGCAUGCAAUUAUCAAAAGAAAGAAAAGAAAGAUUACUAACACAUGGUAUAUAUGAAACAUAGUUUGUUUUUGAUUUUGAACUGAUAACAUUACAAAUCUGUACCGAUUUCGGUCACAAUACAUGCAGUGCUUGUUGCUGCAAAAAAAGAAUUAAAAAAUGCAUUGAUGUAUGUAAUCCAUUCUUUGUUAUUAAAAUCUGAGAUGUCCCUCCAAAAAUUAAUCUAAAAUCACAAGCAAAGUUUCAAAUAUCGUGCAAUUUGGUCACGUACUGCUUGCUGGCAGGUACAGAGUGUUAGGUGAGGACCCAAUGACGACUUAGUUUUUCACUCUCGAACUCAAGUCGAAUAAAUCUAGACAUAUGUCGGACGACGGGGUUUGACGAGUUAUCCAUGACCUCCGGUCUGUAGGAAUCCAUGAUAGAAAUACUGUAUCAUACGAUAACUGCACCUACAGGUUCAUCAUUCUACUCUGCUGGGUAGCCACUACAUACUGCUAGGUGUCACUGGUGGAUGGUGAGACUCACAGGGACCAUUCUGAUGGUCGAUGAUCCCUGGUGAAAUCACAAAGGGGAUAAAGAUGAGCUCCUAUUUUGAAUUCACAAAGGGAUAAAGAUGAGCUCCUAAAAUUUAGGAGCUCAUCUCUAUCCCCACACCAUAAAAGAGGGGUUCAAAGGGGCUACGAAUUUUUCAUGGUUUUUCCUUGGGAUUUUUGGCAGCAAGGAACCUCCUUCCAUCCCUCCUUUCAGCCACAAGAAAGCAAGAAAAAAAGGCUUGUGGCGUGGCCCUUCUUCCUUCCAUUCUUUGGUUCCAACGCGAAGGGAAAAAUGAAAGACUGCGGGUUUUACAUUCUUCUUCCUACAUCCCUCCUUCUUCCUCCUCUCAAGGUAAUCAAAAGUUGAUUCAAAGGAGAGGAUAUCAGCCAUCAAAAGCUAUCUCUGCAAGGGAGCUAGCACCCCGGGAAGAUCCAAAAGCUUCAAUUGGUGCUAUACCUCGUGUGGAUACCUGUAGAGGCCGGAUGCGUGUGCGGCUUCCAUCGAACCUUCAACAAAUCCACGUAAAUCAGAUUUGCAGAGACCAUCUACCCGCACAAGAUGAAGAUCUGAUCUUCUUAAUGAUUUUAAAAUGGUUUAUAAGAAUUUAAUCCUAAUCUAUCUACAAACGACGGUUUUAAAAUACGUUCAUGCGAUGAACGGGAUCGCACAUGCCCUUCCGCUGCACAUCUAAAAAUUUUUGAAAUUUUUCUGCGGCAUGCAUCAGAUCCUAACAGUGGUAUCAGAGCCAGGUUAUGUAGAUUAAGAUUGGAAUUAAAUUUUUAAAGGCAUUUUAAAUCUAAAAUUUAAAGAAUUAUGCUUGCUGAAAUUUUCUGCAUACAGAAUUUUCAGCUUGCUGAUUUUUCUGCAUGCUAAUUUUUGAAUGCUUAGAUUAAUGAUUCUAAUGCUUUGGUAAUGUGAUUACAAAUAUUUAGAAUCAUAUCUUGCAUAAUCAGCAAGUCAUAAGAUGAAAUAAUCAGUUAAAUUACAGAUCUGAAAAUAAUAUUUAUGCAUGAGAUGCGUAUGGUGAUGAUCAUGGAUGGACCCUUUUGAAUGUGCUGAAAUAUUCUGCGAUAUUCUGUGAUGCUAUGUGAUGGCAUGUAAUUUUAAUUUUCAGAUGCCUGCGUGCAUCUUAAAUUCAUGUAUUAAAGACCUGCGUGUCUCAUGAAAAAGGGUUGUAAUUUAUUCUUUUAUUUUAUUUAAUUUUUAAAGCAAUCUGGGAUGUAAUCUGUGAUGUGUGUUGCACGUCGAUGGUUGAUCGAUAUGUACAUUAACAAGCUUAACAUGCACGGAUCGAAAUCAAGGGUUGAUUGAAGAUGGAUCAAGGAGUUGAUCACAAUUGGACCUAGGGAUCAAGAUCAAGUCAAAAGUUGAAGAUGAUCAAACCAAUUGACGUGCAUGUGAUUGUAAAAUGACCCCAUCCUGGAUCCAUGAUCAUCACCAUUUAAAUUUAUUUGUUGAUAAAUGCCUGGAUGUUUAAUGCUUAUGUCUAUACGGGUAGAUAUAUAUUUGCAUGAGAUGUGAAUAGUCGAUCGAGAGAGACCUAAAUACAAACCUUCUCAAUCAGUCAAGAGUGAACCAACAUGAGCUAGUCAUAUUAGAUUAAUUGAUCUAAUUGGUGUCUAGGCAGCUUAAAAGGUGGUUACUUAAUUAGGACCUUACUCUUCGAGUAAGGGGAACCUCCCACCUGCUUACCUGGCCAAUUGUUCCAUGCGAAACCAAUCACCGGCUAGUACAACCUCCGAUACCAAUUCGGAGAACCUUAAUUCUUGGAUAUUGCUAAAAGAAUGAUCUAUAUGUGUCCGUUUUUAAAAUUUAAAUAUGUUUUUUUUGAAUCCAUACUAACUAAAUAGUUAAUAGCACCAAGCUCCAUAAAAUAUGCAUAGAAGAGUAUAUUAGAACAAUAGUAAUUAUGCCAUCUUUAAGUGAAGCAUUAAAGUCGAUUUUAGAAGAAUUUGACAAACAUAACACAGAUCACCAACCUCAUAGUUUUGAAGUAAAUAUGCAAGCAAUGCUGAUAUUCCAUGAAUUGCAAACUUUUGUCCAAUGCAUGCUCGUGCACCAGCCCCAAAAGGAAGAAAUGCUGCACUUUUAUUUGGUUCACUUAUAAAUGGGCACUCUUCAUGCUUCUCAUGUUCCUCAAAUGUGCCUGCAAUUUCAUUUUGAGACAGAUAUUGAAAACAUUAACAAAUAAGUAUCUCAAAGAAAUGCUUUAAAGGAAUGAAAAAUGGAAUAAAUUCCAUUUCCUUUGAAGGGAGAUUGAAGUAUUGGGAGCGAACAUGCAUAAAUUAUAAAAUUGAAGGAGCCAAAAUGCAUGAUAAUGGAGGAGUUCUAUUAAACCUUUGUAAAUAAAUCAAAGCUAUAUCAUCUAAUAUUGCUUUGAUAUACCAGGAAUUAGGAAGCAUCUUACUCAGUAAAACUAUCAGAAAUAAAGCACAAUCCUUCAAACUAUUGGUAAAAGAAAUCAACCCCAUUAUGCCCAAAAGUAAUGCUCAAUCCUUAUUUGAUUUAAACAACUAAUACAGGUGACUGGCAUUGGUUGUUCUCGUCAGGUGCAACAAUUAUUGUAGCAUCAGACAAAUUGGCAAUAGCCUUUUUGUUCAUAGAAAUUCUUAAUAAGAUAAUUCUCAAAUGGUGAAAAAUCUCAGAAGACAAUGAUACAAAAAUGCAACCAACUAAAAGCCACAGAAAUAUUAUACUACCAAGAAGAGCAAAAUAUUGAUGUGUAGAAAAAGGAGAGAGAAAUGAACAUAGCUUUUGACACAAGAAUAAGAUCGUCUUAAACAACAAUAAGCAGCCUCCCACAAGAUUUUAGAAUUUUGGUUCAAGUCUUGGUUUUGAUAAGAGGACUAAAGUAUUGGCUGAAACAUGCUUCGACUGGGAUAGAUCUCAAACUGAUCAAAAAAUUCAGUUUCGGCCACCGGUUUCAACAGUUUCAGAUGAAACCAACUGAAGCUGCCGUUCUUUUACCCCAUUUGUUAACAAGUAUAUGUAUUUAUGUUUAAUAUGUGUUCGAUAUUAUUAAAUCACACGUUCAUCUGAGUCUCUAAUGAUCUUAUCUAUAUAACUUUUGUCUAAGUUAUUAUACUGGAAAGUCAAUGUAUUAAAAAGUGGAUAGAAAGCACAUAACAGCCAGGGGGGCUCCUAGCCAAUAGCGAAUAGCAAGUGCUAUGUACCCAAAGCAGGCUGUUGAAGUAUAUAUAUAUUUUCUUACUAAAUAUCAAAGAUAUCAACUCUACAUCAACUUCAUGUAAAAAAUGAAGAAAAUAAAGAAAAAUUUAAAACAACAUCCACGUAUCAUCGUAAUAUCAUAUCAACAUUUAUAAUUUUGUAUAAUGUAAAGGUACACGAUCUAAUGAGCAAUAUCAUCAUCCACCAAACAUAAUUACAUCACUCAAUAAAGAUGUCUACAAUAUGAUAACAUCAACCAUAGAAGAAAGAUGUCCACAAUCAUACAAAUAAUCCACUUCUCCUUAUCCUCUCUCUCUCUCNNNNNNNNNNNNNNNNNNNNCUCUCUCUCUCUCUCUCUCUCUCUCUCUCUCUCUCUCUCUCUCUCUCCCCCCAUGCUCCAAUUGAACAUGGGUAUGAAAUAACUAAACCAGCCCAUGUUUUAAUCAUCCUAUUGGACUAGCUGAUUGUUGGACCGCUUCAAUUGGAAAGUGGUCCAGUCUGCUAUAAAAUAAAUCACCCACUUCAAACACAGCAUCAUGGCUGCUACAGUGGGUUUCCCACUUCAUACUUGUGCCAUAUGGCACCACCAUGAUAUUUAGCAUAGCCUUCUUCGGCUGAAAGCGCUAUAGCCGCUGUAGCAGCCUAUUUUUAAAACAAUGUGGUCAAUCUGCAAACUUGAUAUAUCUUUACUAAUCAGGCAAGAUAGUUCGUCUUCUUAUUUUUCUUACUUAAAUGAGUUUCUUCCUCCUUUGCUAAAUAAAGUGAAAUAUUAAGAUGAAAUAAUGAAAUAAAAUGGGUUUUUUAUUUGGAUUGGUCCUUUUCUUUUCUUUGUCCAAAUGAAAUAGAGUAAAAUAUACUUAAAUGGGUUUCUUCUUGAUUAGAUGAAUUAAUAAAAUGCAACAAUGUUAAAUAUGCUUAGAUGUUUUUUUCCUCUGAUGAUUUAUAAAAAUGAAAUAGAAUGAAAUAUGCUUAGAGGAAAAGUUUAGUUAAAUUUUUAUGGAAAAUUAUAAAAAACAAAGAAAAGUAUAGAGAAAUUAUAAAAAUUAGAGAAUUGUAAGAAGCAGAGUCGCCGAGUUGGGAAACAAGUGUGAGAGAUCAUAUGAGAAACAAAAGUUGGUGAUUGAUAAGAAAUUAUACAAUUGGGAAAAUUGGUGGCAUCUAUAUAUGAUAAUUAAAAUUAUUCACAUAUUUAGCAUAGGAAAUAAAAAAGAUAUCUUACAAAGAUUAAAAAAAAUAAAAUCUCUACUCGUCGCCUAUGUUCUUUAAAAAGAAAAGAAAUAGGUAGCGAAGAUGAAUCUUUUUCUUCUAUUCUAAUGGGGCCUAGCUUCUAACUUUUUUUAGACAUGGGGUCCAUGUUGUGGUUUAAGGUAUAUUAGUAAUCAUUUUGAACUAAAACAAUUUUAGAUUGACAAAAUUUCUAAUUAAAGGACACUUAGAGCAAAAGUCUAUAUGGAAAGAUCACUCAUGCAAAGAAAAUCUAAAUCGAGGUUUUUUUUUAACUUCCUGUAGGUGGUGGGACUGAUGUGGUCGAGGCAUGUGGGGAAAGAGGACAAAGAGAGUGUGUAUUGGUUAUUUUCAGAAUGCAAAUUCAGCAUUUCUCAAAAUGCGCUUUGCACUCAUUUCUCAGGUUUUUUUUUUUUUUUUGUGGUACUAUAUAUUGAACGUGAGUACACCCAGCCAGAUCACUAGAAAGUAACAAAGACAAAGGAGGAGGAGCAUCUGAAUCAGACGUCCAUGGUAAGAAUAUUACAGAAAAAAAAGUCUAAACAUUUAAAGAAUUAAGCUUUGAUACAGUUUAAUUUCAAUCUGAGAUUACCCAAAAUACAUAUUAUAAUCCUAAAUAACUCAUAACACAAUAAAACGAUGUGAAUUAGCUUGUCUUUAUUUUUUCUCAACUUUUCUUGUUUGGAUCUUUUUAAACUUUUUUUACCAUAAGUCUAGAACUCAAGGUAAAAGUAUCAAAAUUGAAAUUACAAUGGUCAAGAAAAAUAGAGUUUUAUAAGAGAUGUGUAGAUCAUAUGUUAAUGAAUUUAGGGCUGAUUGAGUGACUGGCAGGGGUCGGUAGUCGACUUGUAAAAGUAUUUCAGGUUGCCUAUAUGAAUCUAUGCAGAAAUUCAGUGUGUACCACUAGAAAAAAGACAUAUAUGAGACUAAGUGCAAGUCAUCGAUACACAGAAAAGCACAGCAUAUGGAUAAGUUUAAGAAAAUAACAUAGAAACAAAAAUAGUAUGAAGCAAAAUAAAACAGGUAAAAUGAAAGAGGUUGGCGGAAAGAAAAACUAAAGAGACAGAAAGAAAAACUAGGAGGAAGUAAGAGAUGCAAAUCAGACAUCAAAUCCUUGAUGCCUUUCACAAGAACAGAGAGAAAGAAAACAGUUUAUCAUGCUUCUUGGAGUCUAGCAGAGGACCACAUAUGGCCUUCUCAGGUAAAUAAUAUCUAGAUUUUCCAGACCUCUAUAACGCAAAACUCAGUUUCUCACAGAUUCCUCUACAGAAGACACCUAAUCUACACAAAAUUAAAUCCUAAUGACUUCAGAAAUUUUCGAAUGUUAUAUAUAUAUAUAUAAUCUGAAAAUUACAAUAAACCUAAACUGCACCCAAUAGGCUACCAUUAAAUAAUAAGGUACCAUCAGAUGUAUGUACGCAGUAGUGGUGACACUAGCAGCAUCAAAACCCUAUUCUGCUUUCACCUUACUAGAUGAGUGGAAGUCAUGUUCCAAUAGAAUGAUCUUCCAGUCUAACCACUCAAAGUUGCUUACAUAAAGGGUUGGGGACCAAGUCUGUAUUUUAUUUUUGUAAUUAAACUUUUCCAAGCACCAAGAAAGAACACCAACAAGAUAGCCAUCCUUCAUGCUGCCAACCAUGAAAUUCUCUCAUUCACCAUUGACACCAAUGAGGGAUUUCAGCAAUGCAUGCUAUUUAUAUAUGAAAAAUAUUCUCUACAAAGAUAUCUUGCAUUAUCACAGCAUUGGACAUGGUUAAAGAUUUCUCUAAUUCUUUAACACAAGGUGAAUGCUAGGCAAGGGCACUGUAUUAAGUUCCUUCUUUAGUUAAUACAUACAUGGAAACACUCAAUGAAUUUUAACUUGCAAAUCAUAAUCCCUCUUACAUAUAUGAGAGUGAAACAAGGAGUCUAAUAAGUUCCCCUACUAAUCAAAGAUUUAAAUUCUUACGAAGUAAGUUGUAAUUCAUAAAACUUCAAAGAUGAUACUAAAAAUUUCAAGAAAUCAUUAAAUUCAUCUUUUGAUUAAGAAUUGUCAUUUUAAAUUGGAGUUCAGUAUUUUUCAUACUAAAGGCAUCUCCAUUCUGUGCAAUUUUCAAAUAAGUUGAAGGUGCAUUCCUCUAUAUU